RNAcentral lists this long non-coding RNA (3550 nucleotides) under Xyrichtys novacula (pearly razorfish). The record is from RNAcentral. Lineage: Eukaryota; Metazoa; Chordata; Actinopteri; Labriformes; Labridae.
CAUUUCUUCUCCUGAUAGCCAAGACUUAAUAGAAUGAUGUGCAGGUGAGAAAAGGCUUUAUUCACGGUAGAUUUAUGUGUUUUUUAGGAAAGUACUGUUGGUAUCAAUUUCCGUUUUUGUUUUUUGGUUGACUUUGAUGGUUCUAAAUCUACCGUCACAUUAAUUUGACAUAAAAGACGUUUGUAUAUAUUUCCUGUACUUGAAAGGAUAGAUGGUUUCUUUUACUCUUAAUAGUAUUUGUACAAAAAAAUAAAUGAGUACAAUAAAUCACAGUACUGCUCUCACUGUUGGGCUGAUUGAGGGAAACCCUCACCACCAUUUCCUCAUACCUCCUUAAAUUCAGUGCUGCAUCGCCUAAAAAAUACAGCCUAAGAUGUCACCAAGCUUUGCUAUGUGCACCAGGAUAUUAAUAAAGACUGAGCCGUAUCCAUUAAGCGUGCAGUACUAUGUGAUCCAGCAGCAAAUUUGAGUUAAUAACAGACUACCUUACUUUGAUGUAAAGUGCACUGGACGUCCGCCUUUAUUAGAGCCUGUUCAGGUGGUUGUGACAAGCAUUUCUGAAUAAGUAGUGAAGUUUUGCUGCUGUGCCUCAUGCGUACAUGUACGCGUCUAUUAAUCAGGAGUCCCUAAUUGUCCCCGCUGUGCAGAGAAAUUGUUUCGGCAGAAUUAGCAUCAAUCCAUGUAUCAACAUAAGGUAUACGACAACCUGUGUGUGCUUUCUGCAUGUUUAGUAGAAACAAGUUUAUUAAAGUAAAACUGCUGCAAUAUGCUUAUCUGCAAGAGCUAAUAUCUUGAUUGGUUUAAUCCAUGUUACAGAGGCCCAUGUGCCCUUUUAGGUUGCUUCCAUAGGGUCCUGAUAAUAUUGUCACAUUACAUCCAUUGCUGCCAAAGCCUCUCUUUCAAUGUUUUUUCGCUGCUUCCAUGCUGCUGUUCGUUACACUUUCACACUGCAUGCAAAGUAGAGACAAAGCAAAGUACAGCCAUUGUCAGCUCUCUGAACAAAGACAGAAUGUACAGAGUACAGUUGGCGGGGGCAGAAACACGGACACCUCAGACAUGGUGGAACUAAGAAAACCGCUUCGGCUAGAGCUGAUACAAACGGUAUGGGACUUUUUUCUUUUCUUUUUUUUAAUCUUAUCGCUGUUGCAAGUCUCACAGGUUGAAUGUCCCACAGGGUACCUCCCGCUACUCCAGAUGGCAAGUACACCCCCUCACUGCCUCCACUUUCUUUGAGAGAAGGAAAGUACAACAGCACAUGUAAGAGAAGAAAAAAAAUGAAGUCUUUCUUGAUCAUUAAACCUGUUUUUGCAAAAUGCUGUCGGCUGAAUAAGAGCGUGUACUUUUCAGGUAAAACAUCGUCCGGCUCUCAGGAAAGUUUAAAAAUACAUCCUUGCAACUUUGCAUGUACGCACAAGCUGUUUCACUCGUGUGAAGAGGGUCUUUGGAGUUUCCAGCGUUUGAAAUUAUAGGGUUAUUCAUAGACCUUUAUACCAACGGCACAAAGGUGAAAAUGAUCGCCUUUGUCUUGCCAAGAGGAGGGUCGUUGAUAGUGGAUGGCUGGCGUUCGGUAGCAAGUUCAGGCCGACAGUCCAAGCCAGAGAGAAGUAUCCAUUAAUCAAAAAACACCACACACACGCACACACACACACACACACACACACACACACACACACACACACACACACACACACACACACACACCAUUAUUUCACUGCCCUCCAAGUAACGAUUGGCUUGCAUAGACUCGGACUCUAAUUUAAUGUAAUUCCAUUUAUCACCCUGAAUUAGAUUUCAUGUUGCUACUUAAUAAUUUACAUCCCCUGGAAAGCACUCUUGGCUUUCACCUCGGUAUCGGUGAAUACUGAAGAUGACUGGAGGUAAUGGCCAAUACAGUGAGCAUAAUUUACUUUACAGAGUGACACAGGCAGAGCAUGGAAACAAGAUUUUAGGUGCACAAUGGGUAAGCCAUGGUGUGGCACGACUGACGUGUUGAGCCGCCAAUCAGCUGUGUAAAACUUUAAUUUAGUUCAAGUGUGUUUGCUGUUGAAAGGGUAGAGGUUGGUGCAAUCCAUCGAUGUGUCGAUGCAUUGCGAUGCUUCACGUGACGAUUAGCUAACAUCAAUGUUUAAAAUAAUUAAGUGAUUAAAUAAUAAUGUCCAUGCUUUGCCGCAACGCCAGAACAAAAACAUGUAAUCGGAACCUUACUGCGCGCCGCCCGGACUGUUUAGUGAGCGGGACCACAACAAACAGAGCAUGUUAGUAUCUUUGCAAAAUGGCAACAGCUUCUGCAGCCUCCAAAGAGCGACCGAUUCUCUUUGCAGUCAACCGGGGUUGACACCACAAACAUGAGGCAGCACCUCGUACACUUCACCCCGGAACAGAGGGGGCUCCUACGGUCGUGCCCGCCACACAGAGGACCAUCCCGAAGACUGUCUCCAAACUUCUCGGUUUAAGUUUAGUAUGUCAAAGUACAAAUGUUUACAUAGCAGUCAUACAAUAAAAAAAAAUAAAAAAUCCCACUUGUAUGGAAAAAAGCACUAAAAGUGGCAAUAAUCUAAGAAUCAUGGCACCAAUAAUCAAAUCAAUAAUCAUUAAAAUUGAAGAAUCGAGGCUCCCAUAAUCAAAAUCGAAUCGAAUAAUGAGGCACCCUUGUUGGAACACCCUAUUAAAGGGUAACAUCUCAAAUCAUAGUAGAGUCUUGGGUCCUCAGUGUUUAAGUUUAAUAAGAAACAGGAGGCAUUGACUAAACCCUCCAUGCUUAGCAGAGGAUGUUUGGUUAUGCACACAUUCUGGCGCUGUUUUUUUGGCCACAUGAAGAGGAGCAUGAAUCAUCCUUCAUUAUGCUCUAAAUGUUGGGAGAUGAAAUAGAUUGUAUAUAUUCAAUACAUAUACAUAUCAUUGUCCUCUCCUCUAUCUUCUUAGCUCAAAUCCAGUCCGUGCCAUCAGCGCUUCGGCUAAAAUCAAAUCACGACUCUUGAAAAUACAGACCUGCGUCAGCCUGAACCCUAAGUGCUGCAACACUGGCAGAAGAAUUUAAAAACAACUCCCCGGACACAACCCUCAUCUACAAGAAGUCUUCUGGGAGGAAAACAUCCACAAAUGGUGCCGCAUAAUCUUUCUGCAUUGUUGUGGGAAAGUUCCAAGUGUGGAACAAUCAAUUAGAAGACAAUUAUUAUUGUUUAUCAAAUGUCAGCAGUUGUCAUCCCUCCACUGUCUGGGGCCUGAAGCACUCUGAUUGCAGUGACCAAUUCCGGUCCGUGUCUAGGAUCUCAAAGUACACUUGAGGACAUCAUUUCACAUUUAGCUGAAUGUCUCCUUGGACUCAAGGAUGAACUGAUUUGAAUUCGGUGGUUAAAGGUGACCCUAUUUCACACAGAUGUCUCAUAGAUCUAAAUGAGAAAGUGAUAUUUUUCACCCUGAAUGUCAAAGGUCAACUAACCGUGACACGCUACUAUCAUUGAGAACCACUUUUCUGUUAUUUAAUUCUGUCUUGAUCUUGUGGAUGUCAUAAAUCAAGAAUGCUCGGAGAUAAUAUCCAAAAAGCGUGCAU